UAAACCACGUCAUGAAGGGCUACGUCUACUCAUAGUUUUGAGCACUUCCAAAGAGGGUGACUCCACCAUUUCCCUGGAGAGCUUGUUUCAAUGCUUAAUCACUCUUCCAGUGAAAAAAAUUUCCUAAUAACCAGCUUGAAUUUCCCCUGGUGCAACUUGAGGCCAUUUCCCCUUGGCCUAUUGCUAGUUGCCUGGGAGACAAGGCCAAGUGCCCACCUUGCCACAACCUCACUUCAUACAGCUUAAGCUAGAAGUGUCCUGCACUGCAAAAUGAGCUAACAUACCUGAGUUAAGUUAUGCCUUGAUAAGAUUAAAACUCAAGGAAACAAAAUGAGCAGUUUCAACAAACAAGAAUCUAGGACAUACCCAUUAUGAACUUAGGAUGUACUGAGAUAACUAGGAAGCUACAGAUAGAGGAAAGCUACACACGGGAAGAAUACAAGAAAAGGAGCAAAUCCCACAAGAAAAAGAAGCGUUCAAACAUGACUGAAG
Molecule: non-coding RNA, 492 nt
Organism: Cyanistes caeruleus (blue tit)
Lineage: Eukaryota; Metazoa; Chordata; Aves; Passeriformes; Paridae
Source: RefSeq, a predicted model, not a curated record